This 547-nucleotide long non-coding RNA is filed under the name Lathyrus oleraceus (garden pea). RNAcentral describes it as "Pisum sativum (pea) long non-coding RNA (PSAT_LNC009443)". Lineage: Eukaryota; Viridiplantae; Streptophyta; Magnoliopsida; Fabales; Fabaceae. The record is from RNAcentral.
AACAACAUAAGUUUGAAGUCUUGAUUAGUGAACCAAGUUCCAAUAACUUGCCAUGCCAAAAAGAAAAUGGGAAAUGAUCUUGUAUUGGUUUAAGUCCUUUGCAUGAUUUAGGAAGCAAUCUAUCCUUAAUGCAAAGCCAUUCACUUGAUCAUUUGAUCAAGAUGAAUUAGAUUUGAAUCAAGGAAGAUUAAACCUCCCUAAUCAAUGCUAACUUAUCAACCCUUAACUCAUUGAUCAAAAAGAAAAGAAGAAGAAGAAGGAGAUGAAUAAUGGAUAACGAAAAUGGAAAGAAUAAAGUGCAUUUAGUGAAUUGGAAUGUACCAGUCAACAAGUGUUGACCAAUGACAUUGAAGAUCAUGGUCAAACAAUCAAAAAACAGAAGUGAGAUGAAGAUUGGAAGUCAAGAAAUGAACAAAAUAUUUUUAGGCAUUUUUAAUAUUCAAAAUAAACCUGAAUUAAAAUAUUAAAGAAAGGUCAAACUUCAAAAUCACUUCAAAUCAACUUUGAAAUGUCCAAGUGAUUUAUCCUAAGUUCAACAAGGUCAAAC